CAGCAGCCGCGGUAAUACGUAGGGCGCAAGCGUUAUCCGGAAUUAUUGGGCGUAAAGAGCUCGUAGGCGGUUUGUCGCGCCUGCCGUGAAAGUCCGGGGCUCAACCCCGGAUCUGCGGUGGGUACGGGCAGACUAGAGUGAUGUAGGGGAGACUGGAAUUCCUGGUGUAGCGGUGAAAUGCGCAGAUAUCAGGAGGAACACCGAUGGCGAAGGCAGGUCUCUGGGCAUUAACUGACGCUGAGGAGCGAAAGCAUGGGGAGCGAACAGGAUUAGAUACCCCCGUAGUCCCUGUCUCUUAUAC
RNAcentral lists this ribosomal RNA (301 nucleotides) under uncultured bacterium. RNAcentral describes it as "partial 16S ribosomal RNA". It matches the Rfam family "Bacterial small subunit ribosomal RNA", at positions 509 to 807 of the family's 1533-position model. The record is from RNAcentral.